Molecule: long non-coding RNA, 1397 nt
Organism: Drosophila yakuba
Lineage: Eukaryota; Metazoa; Arthropoda; Insecta; Diptera; Drosophilidae
Exons: 3
Source: RefSeq, a predicted model, not a curated record
AAUGUUGCAUGUGUCAGGGAUUCCAUUCCGACGGGCAUGCGCGUUUUUCCGAGAAUAUUGUGUUCUCGAUUUCAACUUGACUCCGGUUAAUGUGGGUUAAUUCUGGCACGGCAUUGCGAUGGUCAGGUGAGCUGCGAUUGUUCGGAAUGUCCGAAAAUGCCAAGACACAUCGAAGAAGGAAUAAAGAAGCAGGAAUUUCAGCCGGCGCGUGAAAAUCCGAGAGGUGACACUUGUCCAAAUUAUCUUGCUGGAUAAACAAGCGCACUUACCGUGUUAUCAGAGGCAAACGAUGCCGGGAUCCAGGAUCCAGGAUCCAGGAUGCAGGAUCCAGCAGGACGAGCUGCCACACACACUCGCACUCGCCGAGGGUGAGAACAUAACCAGCAUUGUAAUCAAAGCAGGCGAAGGCUGCAGGAGCGCACAAAACUGACAUGCAGUUGACUCCAAAAGAGUCGUAGCCUCGCAGGACACGCGGCGGAGUCCUUUUGCCACCACCCUCCAUCCAAUGGACGCUCGGCAGUCAGAGUGUGACCGAGUCGACAGGAAAGAGGCUCUGCACUGUGAGAAAACUCUACCGCACGGCCGCCCACUAAAAGCUCCUUAAUGAAAAAGUAAUAGGAGAGCCCCAAAGUUUUUUCCGGUGCACAUGAGUGCGAGUGCGAAGCCUUGUUUGUGUGCGUCCGCACAGGCGACAGCUGCUGCAUAACCCAUACAACCCGUACAGCCCUUGCAGCCCGUGAAACCCGUACACCCAUGGAGCCCAUGGAACCCGUACAAGCCUCGCACUCAAGGCGAGUUGAAAAUGUUUAACACGAAAAGGAGUUAUCACGCUGACAGCCUAGCUGAAGCCCGGGGCCGGGCGUCAGAGGAUUCCGGGCACUCGCAGGAGUUGGUGGGUCAGGGGUCCGGAGUCCGGAGUGCCGAGUCCGGGAAAGUCGACGUGCCUCGCUGCAAAAUUAUGACAAAGUUCUGCGGAAGAAAAAUGCCGCAGAGGGCGUGGAAAAAAUGCUUUGAAAUGAAAUCCAGAAAAUAGGGUUCGCUUCCCCGUAAGACGCGUGAUGUGCUAAGCAAGUAAUGAUUGCCCGAGGAUAAGUCGUUGGCUCCCGAGAGAUGGAAAUGGUCUUGAAUUACUUUAAUGCCAGUACCAUAAGUCCUAGCCAAGUAUAGUUUUGGAAGUUGUGUCAUUAUAAGCCUACACCCUUACUGAGCUACAUGCUAAAAACUCUUAGAUCAGAAUCCUGAUAGUACUCACCCAGUUUAUUUGCUGAAAUGGGAUUACAAUUAGAAAAUAAUAGUAAUAGCACAAUAAAAUGACAAUGUUAUGCUUUACUGUUCUAUUUACAAUAAAUAUUACAAUAAGCACGCAUUAUAUAAUCCCUACGCGAUUAAAAAAUCUA